This 424-nucleotide ribosomal RNA is filed under the name uncultured bacterium. Its description in RNAcentral is "bacterial SSU rRNA". It matches the Rfam family "Bacterial small subunit ribosomal RNA", at positions 355 to 794 of the family's 1533-position model. The record is from RNAcentral.
UGGGGAAUAUUGGGCAAUGGGCGCAAGCCUGACCCAGCAACGCCGCGUGAGGGAAGAAGGUUUUCGGAUCGUAAACCUCUGUUGUAGGGGACGAGGAAAAGACGGUACCCUACGAGGAAGCUCCGGCUAACUACGUGCCAGCAGCCGCGGUAAUACGUAGGGAGCGAGCGUUGUCCGGAAUGACUGGGCGUAAAGGGCGCGUAGGCGGUUUUGUAAGUCUGGAGUGAAACCCCCGUUUUCAAGGCGGGGCCUGCUUUGGAGACUGCAGGACUUGAGUGAUGGAGAGGAUAGCGGAAUUCCCGGUGUAGCGGUGAAAUGCGUAGAGAUCGGGAGGAACACCAGUGGCGAAGGCGGCUAUCUGGACAUAGACUGACGCUGAGGCGCGAAAGCGUGGGGAGCAAACAGGAUUAGAUACCCUGGUAGU